This 69-nucleotide transfer RNA is filed under the name Scinax tymbamirim. RNAcentral's name for it is "tRNA-Val". It matches the Rfam family "tRNA". From Rfam's summary of the family: Transfer RNA (tRNA) molecules are approximately 80 nucleotides in length. RNAcentral also lists the same sequence under 1 other name. Lineage: Eukaryota; Metazoa; Chordata; Amphibia; Anura; Hylidae. The record is from RNAcentral.
CAAAGCGUAGUUUAACCAAAGCAUCUCGCUUACACCGAGACCAUAUCUGUUAAAGCCAGAUCGCUUUGA